GGAGGGUGCAAGCAUUGAUCGGAAUUAUUGGGCGUAAAGGGCGCGUAGGCGGCAAGAUAAGACAGAUGUGAAAUUCCGGGGGGCUCAACCCCCGGAGCUGCAUUUGAAACUAUCUAGCUAGAGUAUAGUUAGGGAAAACGGAAUUCCACGUGUAGCGGUGAAAUGCGUAGAUAUGUGGAAGAACACCGGUGGUGAAGACGGUUUUCUGGGCUAAAACUGACGCUGAGGCGCGAAAGCUAGGGGAGCAAACAGGAUUAGAUACCCUGGUAGUCCUAGCUGUAAACGAUGCAUACUAGACGUAGGAGGGCUCAACCCCUUUUGUGUCGGAGCUAACGCAUUAAGUAUGCCGCCUGAGGAGUACGCUCGCAAGGGUG
RNAcentral lists this ribosomal RNA (374 nucleotides) under uncultured organism. Its description in RNAcentral is "partial 16S ribosomal RNA". It matches the Rfam family "Bacterial small subunit ribosomal RNA", at positions 527 to 896 of the family's 1533-position model. The record is from RNAcentral.